Molecule: long non-coding RNA, 2715 nt
Organism: Oncorhynchus keta (chum salmon)
Lineage: Eukaryota; Metazoa; Chordata; Actinopteri; Salmoniformes; Salmonidae
Exons: 2
Source: RefSeq, a predicted model, not a curated record
CAGAGUCUUCAUGUCUCUUAAAGAACUCUUUAGAACAUGAUUAUCGUUUUUUACAUUUUAUUUACAUUUGAGUUUUUAUUUCACCUUUUUGUUUAACCAGGUCGGCCAGUUGACAACAAGUCCUCAUUUACAACUGCGAUAAAGCAAAGCAGUGCGACACAAAACAACCACACGGAGUAAACCAAAAGUUCAGUCAAUAACACAAUAGGAAACAAAUCUAUAAACAGUGUGUGCAAAAGGCAAGCUAUAAUGCAUUACGUCUCAAUAACUCUAAAAAAUAAUUAGGCCCAGUGACAGUACUAAUACUAUGCCAAUACAAACACGUCUGUCAUUAAGUUUACACUGUACUAGAGAACAGAAUCAAUGAUUCAUUGAGGUUUCCACAGUAUACUAAAGAUAAACUAUAUCAUUGUUUUUAUUCCAAUCGUUGUCAAAUGCAGACUAUUUAUGCGUUAGUAGGUGUUCUUGGUUUUUCUCUAGACUCUACGUUGUGCAUGCGUUUGUUACAUCAUCGAAAGCCUGCCGCGCCAUUGGCCGAUCUCGCCGGGGAGAUCAAGGUGACUUUGAUGUGUCAUAUCCAAUCGAGAUUCUGUCCUCUGAGGCUCUGUUCCCAGCGUCUCUAAAGCAGCUCUUUCGAAAUGGUCAUGGGCCAAUAGGGUACACUAUUCCCUACAUAGUGCACUACUUUGGACCAGGACCAUGCCAUUUGAAAUGUUCAUAUGAAAAACAACUCCUCAAUGUUUUAUAAUAAUUAUCAUCAAUAUUCCUUUCUAUAUAUCAAUAGCUCUAUAUAGCUCUAUUUCUAUAGUUCUAUAGCUCUAUAUCUAUAGUUCUAUAUAUCUAUAGUUCUAUAUAUCCAGAUCUAUAGUUCUAUAUCUGUAGUUCUAUAUAUCCAUAGCUCUAUAUCUAUAGGUCUAUAUAUCUAUAUCUAUGGCUCUAUAUAUCUAUAGCUAAAUAUAUCUAUAUCUAUAUAUAGCGCUAUAUAUUUAUAGCUCUAUAUAUCUACAGUAUAUCUAUAGCUCUUUAUCUAUAGCACUAUAUAUAUAUCUCUAUACAUCUAUAGCUCUAUAUAUCUAUAGCUCUAUCUCUGUCUCUCUCUGUCUCUCUCUAUAUGUAUAUAGUUAUAUUGCUCUAUCUAUAUAUCUAUAGCUCUAUAUAUCUAUAGCUCUAUCUCUCUCUCUGUCUCUCUCUAUAUGUAUAUAUAGUUAUAUAGCUCUAUCUAUAUAUCUGUCUCUCUCUCUAUAUAUAUAUAUAUCUGUCUCUCUCUCUGUCUAUAUAUAUAUAUAUAUAUAUAUUUAUAUAGUUAUAUAGUUAUAUAGCUCUAUCUAUAUAUCUGUAUGUAUUGUUUUCUGUACCUUAUUAUAUUGUACAUAUGCAGAUGAUGUGAACAGUGUCUUUAUUGUUUGAUUUAUGGAUGUCUUUACGUUCUACCUCUCCAGUCCCCCUUCCUUCUGUCAAUCAAUAUUGUUGUUGAUUUUAUGUUUAUUAUUGUUAUUAUUCUAUUGUUGUUGUGGAAACAUUCCAGUGAAGGAAUUCCUGUUUAUUUUAAUGUAAAAAUAAUAUAAUUUGAAUGCAGGAAGCAGAAAGGGUUGAACUUUAUACUCUUAACUGUAUACAAGUGGGACCGAUAAUGUUUUCGCUCUGUGAUCUCGUCAUUUAUGACCAAAUACAUGUUUACUACUAUGCCACCAGGAAUUCGUUUCUGAAGAAAAUAGAAUAAACAAUGUGAUUAUCAUUAUAAAUUAAUGUGAUUAUCAUGAUAAAUUAAUGUGAUUAUCAUUAUAAAUUAAUGUGAUUACCAUUAUAAAUCAAUGUGAUUAUCAUUAUAAAUUAAUGUUAUUAUCAUUAUAAAUUAAUGUGAUUAUCAUUAUAAAUUAAUGUGAUUAUCAUUAUAAAUUAAUGUGAAAACAAACAAACAUAUUUUUUGAUUUUUUUAAAUAUUUUUUUUAACUUACAGCAAUUGAGAAAUGUAGCCUAAAAAAUUAUACUUGAAUCUAUUUAGUAAAUAGUAAAUUUAGUGAAUCUAAUUCUUAAAUGCAUUACUGUACUAGUUGGGAAAAAGACUUGUUGUCUUUUGUGGCAGUGCCCAAGGUGGCAGUGCCAGAGGUGGCAGUGCCCAAGGUGGCAGUGCCCAAGGUGGCAGUGCCAGAGGUGGCAGUGCCCAAGGUGGCAGUGCCCAAGGUGGCAGUGCCAGAGGUGGCAGUGCCCAAGGUGGCAGUGCCCAAGGUGGCAGUAGUAACAACCAUCUCUGGAGCUAUGUCUUAAAGUGUGAGAGCCAGCCUGGUUCGGUCCUAUUCUGUAGAGGUGAGGUAGCUAGGGAAGUCCUCCUAUAGGAGACCUAGGACCACCCUGCCAUGACCAGAGAGACAGAGCCUACAUUCCAAAUGGCACCCUAUUCCCUAUAUAGUGCACUCGUCCCCAUAGGCCCUAGUCAAAAGUAGUGCACUCGUCCCCAUAGGCCCUAGUCAAAAGUAGUGCACUCGUCCCCAUAGGCCCUAGUCAAAAGUAGUGCACUGUAAAGGGAAUAGUGUGCCAUUUGGGAUGGAGCUUAUUGAUCUCAAAAUGUUAUUUUAUUCAUGUUGUUUUUUUCCUCAAAACAUUCCAAUCGCUUAACUCGUCUCAAAUUAUGUCAUCAUUGUGAUUACAAAUGGCUGUAGUGAUUGUUGACAAUUGUUAUUGUUUUCUUGAUUUAAUUUUUAAAAAUGUUUUACCCUU